This 406-nucleotide ribosomal RNA is filed under the name uncultured bacterium. Its description in RNAcentral is "partial 16S ribosomal RNA". It matches the Rfam family "Bacterial small subunit ribosomal RNA", at positions 28 to 526 of the family's 1533-position model. The record is from RNAcentral.
GAUGAACGCUAGCUACAUGCUUAACACAUGCAAGUCGAGGGCCCGGCGCACGGGUGAGUCACACGUAUCCAACCUGCCCUUUACUCGGGGAUAGCCUUUCGAAAGAAAGAUUAAUACUCGAUGUAAAGGUUGGGGAUGCGUUCCAUUAGGUUGUUGUUGAGGUAACGGCUCACCAAGCCUUCGAUGGAUAGGGGUUCUGAGAGGAAGGUCCCCCACAUUGGAACUGAGACACGUGCCAAACUCCUACGGGAGGCAGCAGUGAGGAAUAUUGGUCAAUGUGCGGUAGCCUGAACCAGCCAAGUAGCGUGAAGGAUGAAGGCUUAUGGGUCGUAAACUUCUUUUAUAUAAGAAUAUGUAUUAUAUGAAUAAGGAUCGGCUAACUCCGUGCCAGCCGCCGCGGUAAUUC